RNAcentral lists this transfer RNA (67 nucleotides) under Rhombosepion orbignyanum. RNAcentral's name for it is "tRNA-Val". Lineage: Eukaryota; Metazoa; Mollusca; Cephalopoda; Sepiida; Sepiidae. The record is from RNAcentral.
CAAAAUUUAACAUAAUAAAUGUGUCUCACUUACACUGAGAAAAUAAUUAAAAUAUAAUUAAUUUUGA